UUUAUGGAGAGUUUGAUCCUGGCUCAGGAUGAACGCUGGCGGCGUGCCUAAUACAUGCAAGUCGAGCGAACGGACGAGAAGCUUGCUUCUCUGAUGUUAGCGGCGGACGGGUGAGUAACACGUGGAUAACCUACCCAUAAGACUGGGAUAACUUCGGGAAACCGGAGCUAAUACCGGAUAAUAUUUUGAACCGCAUGGUUCAAAAGUGAAAGACGGUCUUGCUGUCACUUAUGGAUGGAUCCGCGCUGCAUUAGCUAGUUGGUAAGGUAACGGCUUACCAAGGCAACGAUGCAUAGCCGACCUGAGAGGGUGAUCGGCCACACUGGAACUGAGACACGGUCCAGACUCCUACGGGAGGCAGCAGUAGGGAAUCUUCCGCAAUGGGCGAAAGCCUGACGGAGCAACGCCGCGUGAGUGAUGAAGGUCUUCGGAUCGUAAAACUCUGUUAUUAGGGAAGAACAUAUGUGUAAGUAACUGUGCACAUCUUGACGGUACCUAAUCAGAAAGCCACGGCUAACUACGUGCCAGCAGCCGCGGUAAUACGUAGGUGGCAAGCGUUAUCCGGAAUUAUUGGGCGUAAAGCGCGCGUAGGCGGUUUUUUAAGUCUGAUGUGAAAGCCCACGGCUCAACCGUGGAGGGUCAUUGGAAACUGGAAAACUUGAGUGCAGAAGAGGAAAGUGGAAUUCCAUGUGUAGCGGUGAAAUGCGCAGAGAUAUGGAGGAACACCAGUGGCGAAGGCGACUUUCUGGUCUGUAACUGACGCUGAUGUGCGAAAGCGUGGGGAUCAAACAGGAUUAGAUACCCUGGUAGUCCACGCCGUAAACGAUGAGUGCUAAGUGUUAGGGGGUUUCCGCCCCUUAGUGCUGCAGCUAACGCAUUAAGCACUCCGCCUGGGGAGUACGACCGCAAGGUUGAAACUCAAAGGAAUUGACGGGGACCCGCACAAGCGGUGGAGCAUGUGGUUUAAUUCGAAGCAACGCGAAGAACCUUACCAAAUCUUGACAUCCUU
Molecule: ribosomal RNA, 1009 nt
Filed under: Staphylococcus aureus
Lineage: Bacteria; Bacillati; Bacillota; Bacilli; Caryophanales; Staphylococcaceae
Description: bacterial SSU rRNA
Rfam family: Bacterial small subunit ribosomal RNA
Source: RNAcentral